Molecule: unclassified non-coding RNA, 336 nt
Filed under: soil metagenome
Description: partial contains 5.8S ribosomal RNA, internal transcribed spacer 2, and large subunit ribosomal RNA
Rfam family: 5.8S ribosomal RNA (bases 1-120)
Source: RNAcentral
GAUGAAGAACGUAGCGAAAUGCGAUAAGUAAUGUGAAUUGCAGAAUUUAGUGAAUCAUCGAAUCUUUGAACGCACAUUGCGCCCGCCAGUAUUCUGGCGGGCAUGCCUGUUCGAGCGUCAUUUCAACCAUCAAGCCCCAGGCUUGUGUUGGGGACCUGCGGCUGCCGCAGGCCCUGAAAACCAGUGGCGGGCUCGCUGUCACACCGGGCGUAGUAGAUUUUAUCUCGCUCUGGGCGUGCUGCGGGUUCCGGCCGUUAAAAAACCCUUUUAACCCAAGGUUGACCUCGGAUCAGGUAGGAAUACCCGCUGAACUUAAGCAUAUCAAUAAGCGGAGGA